AGACAAACUCCGAAUGCCAAUUAAUUUAACUUGGGAGUCAGAACAUGGGUGAUAAGGUCCGUGUUCGAAAGGGAAACAGCCCAGACCACCAGCUAAGGUCCCAAAAUAUAUGUUAAGUGGAAAAGGAUGUGGCGUUGCCCAGACAACUAGGAUGUUGGCUUAGAAGCAGCCAUCAUUUAAAGAGUGCGUAAUAGCUCACUAGUCGAGUGACACUGCGCCGAAAAUGUACCGGGGCUAAACAUAUUACCGAAGCUGUGGAUUGUCCUUUGGACAAUGGUAGGAGAGCGUUCUAAGGGCGUUGAAGCAUGAUCGUAAGGACAUGUGGAGCGCUUAGAAGUGAGAAUGCCGGUGUGAGUAGCGAAAGACGGGUGAGAAUCCCGUCCACCGAUUGACUAAGGUUUCCAGAGGAAGGCUCGUCCGCUCUGGGUUAGUCGGGUCCUAAGCUGAGGCCGACAGGCGUAGGCGAUGGAUAACAGGUUGAUAUUCCUGUACCACCUAUAAUCGUUUUAAUCGAUGGGGGGACGCAGUAGGAUAGGCGAAGCGUGCGAUUGGAUUGCACGUCUAAGCAGUAAGGCUGAGUAUUAGGCAAAUCCGGUACUCGUUAAGGCUGAGCUGUGAUGGGGAGAAGACAUUGUGUCUUCGAGUCGUUGAUUUCACACUGCCGAGAAAAGCCUCUAGAUAGAAAAUAGGUGCCCGUACCGCAAACCGACACAGGUAGUCAAGAUGAGAAUUCUAAGGUGAGCGAGCGAACUCUCGUUAAGGAACUCGGCAAAAUGACCCCGUAACUUCGGGAGAAGGGGUGCUCUUUAGGGUUAACGCCCAGAAGAGCCGCAGUGAAUAGGCCCAAGCGACUGUUUAUCAAAAACACAGGUCUCUGCUAAACCGUAAGGUGAUGUAUAGGGGCUGACGCCUGCCCGGUGCUGGAAGGUUAAGAGGAGUGGUUAGCUUCUGCGAAGCUACGAAUCGAAGCCCCAGUAAACGGCGGCCGUAACUAUAACGGUCCUAAGGUAGCGAAAUUCCUUGUCGGGUAAGUUCCGACCCGCACGAAAGGCGUAACGAUUUGGGCACUGUCUCAACGAGAGACUCGGUGAAAUCAUAGUACCUGUGAAGAUGCAGGUUACCCGCGACAGGACGGAAAGACCCCGUGGAGCUUUACUGUAGCCUGAUAUUGAAAUUCGGCACAGCUUGUACAGGAUAGGUAGGAGCCUUUGAAACGUGAGCGCUAGCUUACGUGGAGGCGCUGGUGGGAUACUACCCUAGCUGUGUUGGCUUUCUAACCCGCACCACUUAUCGUGGUGGGAGACAGUGUCAGGCGGGCAGUUUGACUGGGGCGGUCGCCUCCUAAAAGGUAACGGAGGCGCUCAAAGGUUCCCUCAGAAUGGUUGGAAAUCAUUCAUAGAGUGUAAAGGCAUAAGGGAGCUUGACUGCGAGACCUACAAGUCGAGCAGGGUCGAAAGACGGACUUAGUGAUCCGGUGGUUCCGCAUGGAAGGGCCAUCGCUCAACGGAUAAAAGCUACCCCGGGGAUAACAGGCUUAUCUCCCCCAAGAGUUCACAUCGACGGGGAGGUUUGGCACCUCGAUGUCGGCUCAUCGCAUCCUGGGGCUGUAGUCGGUCCCAAGGGUUGGGCUGUUCGCCCAUUAAAGCGGUACGCGAGCUGGGUUCAGAACGUCGUGAGACAGUUCGGUCCCUAUCCGUCGUGGGCGUAGGAAAUUUGAGAGGAGCUGUCCUUAGUACGAGAGGACCGGGAUGGACAUACCUCUGGUGUACCAGUUGUCGUGCCAACGGCAUAGCUGGGUAGCUAUGUGUGGACGGGAUAAGUGCUGAAAGCAUCUAAGCAUGAAGCCCCCCUCAAGAUGAGAUUUCCCAACUUCGGUUAUAAGAUCCCUCAAAGAUGAUGAGGUUAAUAGGUUCGAGGUGGAAGCAUGGUGACAUGUGGAGCUGACGAAUACUAAUCGAUCGAAGACUUAAUCAA
This 1974-nucleotide ribosomal RNA is filed under the name Staphylococcus aureus. Its description in RNAcentral is "partial 23S ribosomal RNA". It matches the Rfam family "Bacterial large subunit ribosomal RNA", at positions 947 to 2925 of the family's 2925-position model. The record is from RNAcentral. Lineage: Bacteria; Bacillati; Bacillota; Bacilli; Caryophanales; Staphylococcaceae.